UUUGAGGAAGCGUGGCUUAAGACUCACUUCAGGCGGCUCUUUCGAGAAGGGCAGCGGCUACCAUUCCCCGUCCCGUCCCAGGCCUCUUCCAGAUGGGCAGAACUACACUUGAGCAUUGAUGCAUCAUGUUAAACUCGGCUAAAUGAAUCUCGUAUAUCUCAUUAACCUUCCCUGCUCACAGAAUGAACCAGUAGUUGUGAGCUUGCAUAUUCACAGUCUAAUUUUAUGCCUGGGCACUCUUGCAAUGCAAAGCAAAUAAUUGCUUUUUUCAAUGCAAUUAAAAUGUGAAGCCAACUUUCAAGUGGAUCUGGAGAGGCCAUAUUAAAUGCAUCAGUGGUUCAUUUCACUUCUAAAACAUACUUUUAAAACUACAGGAUGUAUCUUCAUUUUAAAAUAGUUGAAUCCAGGCCCGGAGUUAGGCUGCACACAUUUUACACACAUAUAAUUGGAACUUUCCCUGUACUGAAUUCCUGGGAGUCUCAUUCCAAGUGGUCAUGCAUGCCAUUCAUUCAAUGAAAUAUCCCAUUUGUCAAUGGCUUGCAGGAAUAAUUAUUAUUUAAAAAGCCUGGAGGUGGAAAUAGAAUCUCCUUAGGCUUUUAAAAAACUGGGUGCUAUUUAAAACUAUGUUUCCAUCACUACAAAAUUUUCCAAGGAACAUGGUUUUGGUUUUUAUUCUCUUAUUGUCUCAAGGUGUUUUGAUAUGGCAAAUUGUAUGGAUAAGCAUUUAAUUUUAACUGGAAGUAGACUAUUGGGAUAUUUAUUUGGACUACAGUAAUCUAUAAAAAAGGUUAGCCAUUCGGUGGUUCAAAUCCCUAG
This is a long non-coding RNA of Thamnophis elegans (Western terrestrial garter snake), 816 nucleotides long. RefSeq lists it as uncharacterized. The record is from RefSeq and is a predicted model, not a curated record. The transcript has 3 exons. NCBI's taxonomy places the organism in Eukaryota, Metazoa, Chordata, Lepidosauria, Squamata, Natricidae.